RNAcentral lists this ribosomal RNA (448 nucleotides) under uncultured bacterium. RNAcentral describes it as "SSU rRNA". It matches the Rfam family "Bacterial small subunit ribosomal RNA", at positions 26 to 518 of the family's 1533-position model. The record is from RNAcentral.
AGAACGAACGCUGGCGGCAUGCCUAACACAUGCAAGUCGAACGAGAUCCUUCGGGGUCUAGUGGCGCACGGGUGCGUAACGCGUGGGAAUCUGCCCUUAGGUACGGAAUAACUCAGGGAAACUUGUGCUAAUACCGUAUGAUGUCUUCGGACCAAAGAUUUAUCGCCUAGGGAUGAGCCCGCGUAGGAUUAGCUAGUUGGUGGGGUAAAGGCCUACCAAGGCGACGAUCCUUAGCUGGUCUGAGAGGAUGAUCAGCCACACUGGGACUGAGACACGGCCCAGACUCCUACGGGAGGCAGCAGUGGGGAAUAUUGGACAAUGGGCGAAAGCCUGAUCCAGCAAUGCCGCGUGAGUGAAGAAGGCCUUCGGGUUGUAAAGCUCUUUUACCCGGGAAGAUAAUGACUGUACCGGGAGAAUAAGCCCCGGCUAACUCCGCGCCAGCAGCCGC